ACUUUACAGAGAGAUUUCAAAAGUAUGUGAAAGCGUUCUGGGGUAAAUGUGAAAAGUCCGAAUGGUCGAACGGGUGAUAUUCAUGCCCAUCCGGCCACUGGCCCCUGCCUUCGGCAGAUGGGGCCGGCCGCCCGCGCGGAGCUAUCCGCGGCGCGGUUGUGUCCGGUUGUCUUUCCGCUCGCCGUUGGGCGGAGUGGUUCCGGUGUGCCAUGGCCCGCACCUCUCACAUAGUUGGACGUCGAGACCUGUUGGGGGCCAGCCUAUGGCCCUGGUGUGCAGCCUUUCCCUCUGCGGGUCUUGGUUGUCAUCUGAUGGGCAGAGCCCCAGUGUCCUGGCAGGCUGCUCGGCGGUAUAUAUGGAGGAGUAGAUUCGCCAAACUUUGCGUUGGGCGCUCGGGCUCCCCGCAAGUGCGCGCAGUUCUUAACAGAUGACGGACCUACCUGGCCUGCACCCGGACCCGUGCCACUGUUGCCUUGAGAUGCUAUCGGGCGGAAUAAUCGCUCCAGUCAGCGGAGCAUCAGCUUUGGACAAUUUCACGAC
This 540-nucleotide ribosomal RNA is filed under the name Anacridium flavescens. RNAcentral describes it as "partial 28S ribosomal RNA". The record is from RNAcentral. Lineage: Eukaryota; Metazoa; Arthropoda; Insecta; Orthoptera; Acrididae.